AAGAUGUUUCUAUCACCCAUGCUAAAUGAAACAAGCAAAUAGGGAAAAGAACCUUCUCCCAAAUCACUAUCUUUGUGUGACCUUUCUCUAAGCUAAAAAAAAUAAUAAAAAUAAAAGGAAUCAAAAAAGAAGAAAUCUGUGGGUCAACUGGAUCCUUGAGAACAGGACCUCUAUCUGAUUAAUCUCUGUAUGAUUUUCAGUAUUUACCAUGUAUUUAAAUUAUGAUAUACAUGCACAAUUCAGAUAUUUAAUCAACAUUUCUUGAAUGAGAAGGAAUCUGAGAAGAUUAGGCUCUAACAAAGCCUAAUAGGUAGAGUUAAUGCUAAAAGUGCCAUUUAAAAUGACUUUUAAAUCUCUCUGAAGAUCUCUGGCAGCAAACAUCACUAAAACACAGAAAAAGAAAAGGCUCAUUUCAACGGUAAAGUCCCCAAUCCCUACAGGCUUAUGACUUAAGGAGAUAAUGAUAAAGUCGCAUCAUACUCCAGUCUACAUUACCCGAAUUCAACUCUAUAUCCUCAGUAGCAACCGCCAAGAAAAGGAGAACUUCAGGAAGUAUGCAUCCCAAUGCAAAACCGAGAUAUGAGAGGAGACACCACUAUUCUGCAAUCAGCUUCAUGCCUGUAUCUUCUCCCAGGAUGGUCACUGUGCCAGUGGAUGGGAGUCUAGCUGCAAAAUGCAUAUGAUAUGCCUCUUGAAUACCUACGUAUAUACUGUGAAAGGAAAAUAGAAUCUUGGCACCCCAAACUCACUAUGCCAAAUGGAAAGUUAAGCUUAGAAACUGAGUCACACAAAAACUGCCUUCCUUUUUGUUCCCAAAUAGCUGUAAUUCCACAUGCUUACUUUAUCUUAUGUAACAUGUUAAAAUGUAGAUUAACCAAGCAAGAGAAGAAUGCAAAAUUGGCUUUUCCUGUACUCUUCUUUGCACAUGUAACAUGUAGAUUCACUGAGUGCUAAUCAGAGCCUACCAAGAUGGAGCCGCUUGCCUCACUGCCUGCCUGUCCUCCUUUUCUUUUUCUUCCCCAAAUGCUUGCUCUUUCUUUCUUUCUUCUUCUUCUUCUUUUUUUUUUUGAGAUGGAGUCUUGCUGUGUCUUCCAGGCUGGAGUGCCGUGGCGUGAUCUCAGCUCAAGAGCUGGGAUUACAGGUGCCUGCCACCACACCCAGCUAUUUUUUUUUUUUUUUUUGCAUUUUUAAUAGAGACGGGGUUUCACCACGUUGGCCAGGCUGGUCUCAAACCCCUCACCUCAAGUGAUCCACCCACUUUGGCCUCCCAAAGUGCUGGGAUUAUAGGCAUGAGCCACUGUGCCCAGCCUCUUUCUUGGUUAAAUACUGAACAUCCCAAAACCCUCUGUGGAUAAAGCAUAGGUUGCAGAUCCUACUGAGGCACGUGUUUGUUUUUCUCAGGUG
Molecule: long non-coding RNA, 1404 nt
Filed under: Homo sapiens (human)
Lineage: Eukaryota; Metazoa; Chordata; Mammalia; Primates; Hominidae
Description: HSALNT0159608
Source: RNAcentral